GACGAACGCUGGCGGCGUGCUUAACACAUGCAAGUCGAACGCUGAAGCCCUGGCUUUUGUUGGGUUGGAUGAGUGGCGAACGGGUGAGUAACACGUGAGUAACCUGCCCUCUUCUUUGGGAUAACGCCCGGAAACGGGUGCUAAUACUGGAUAUUCACUGAUCUUCGCAUGGGGGUUGGUGGAAAGGUUUGUUCUGGUGGGGGAUGGGCUCGCGGCCUAUCAGCUUGUUGGUGGGGUGAUGGCCUACCAAGGCUUUGACGGGUAGCCGGCCUGAGAGGGUGACCGGUCACAUUGGGACUGAGAUACGGCCCAGACUCCUACGGGAGGCAGCAGUGGGGAAUAUUGCACAAUGGUCGAAAGCCUGAUGCAGCGACGCCGCGUGAGAGAUGGAGGCCUGCGGGUUGGAAACCUCUUUCGCUCAUGGUCAAGCCGCAACUGUGGGUUGUGGUGAGGGUAGUGGGUAAAGAAGCGCCGGCUAACUACGUG
Molecule: ribosomal RNA, 486 nt
Filed under: uncultured bacterium
Lineage: Bacteria
Description: partial 16S ribosomal RNA
Rfam family: Bacterial small subunit ribosomal RNA
Source: RNAcentral